RNAcentral lists this unclassified non-coding RNA (206 nucleotides) under Hevea brasiliensis (rubber tree). The record is from RNAcentral. Lineage: Eukaryota; Viridiplantae; Streptophyta; Magnoliopsida; Malpighiales; Euphorbiaceae.
GCAGCGUGCCCAUGUCGAGCGAAAAGACCGUGGACGCUGCCAGCACUUCCGGCACUUCGCUGUCGACAAUGCGCUUGGCCAGGCCCUCCGCGAUCGCGGUCUUGCCGACACCCGCUUCGCCGACGAACAGCGGAUUGUUCUUCUGGCGGCGGCACAGCACCUGAAUGGCGCGGUUGAUUUCGGCGUGGCGGCCGAUCACCGGAUCG